Molecule: ribosomal RNA, 118 nt
Filed under: Pseudochlorodesmis sp. HV01306b
Lineage: Eukaryota; Viridiplantae; Chlorophyta; Ulvophyceae; Bryopsidales; Bryopsidaceae
Source: RNAcentral
UCUAGUGUUGAUACUCAAUUGGAAACACUUCAAUCCUUUUCGAAUUUGAAAGUUCAACAAUUGAGAGGUUUCUCUACUGCAAGGGUCGCUUUGUGGGAAAAAAACCUAAUGCUAGAAG